GUAGGUGGCAAGCGUUGUCCGGAAUUAUUGGGCGUAAAGCGCGCGCAGGCGGGGUUCGUUUAAGUCUGAUGUGAAAGCCCACGGGCUCAACCGUGGAGGGUCAUUGGAAACUGGAGAACUUGAGUACGGAAGAGGAAAGCGGAAUUCCACGUGUAGCGGUGAAAUGCGUAGAGAUGUGGAGGAACACCAGUGGCGAAGGCGGCUUUCUGGUCUGUAACUGACGCUGAGGCGCGAAAGCGUGGGGAGCAAACAGGAUUAGAUACCCUGGUAGUCCACGCCGUAAACGAUGAGUGCUAAGUGUUAGGGGGUUUCCGCCCCUUAGUGCUGCAGCUAACGCAUUAAGCACUCCGCCUGGGGAGUACGGCCGCAAGGCUG
Molecule: ribosomal RNA, 375 nt
Filed under: uncultured organism
Description: partial 16S ribosomal RNA
Rfam family: Bacterial small subunit ribosomal RNA
Source: RNAcentral